GGGUCAGGGUCUCAGAGUCUGCAUGGCAGUCACCAUUGUCUUGACUUGGGAAAGAAUCUGACCCCCGCAGAUCCUUCAAUCAGGGGCUGCUGCUGAGCUUAUGAUGAUUUUUCUUCUAAAGGUCAGCAACUCAUUGGGGCUGAUGGCGUCCCUGCCCUGGGCAGACAGGCAGGACUUGCUCAUGAGUCUCUGUAUCACUCAGCUCCAGGAGACUCAGAAUCUCACCAGGACACGUCCAUCACUCUCUCAUAGCUGGUACUUGGAAAUGAAAGAGACUCGCAGUGCAGUCCCAAUCAAUGUCCGUCGGCCGUCUCUGUCGAUAACUGCCGGGCUGUCCAAUCUUUCCCCUGAUAGAAAGGCGCCUGGGGGUCAGCCUGAAGAAGCUCUGGAGGGAAGAGGCGGCUGUUUGAUUCAGAGCCUCCUCGCUGGGCUGGAAUUAACCUGGCUCUUUCUCUAAUGAAACUGACUCCAAGGGUCCCUGUGUGCUAGAGAUUCAAUGGCCCUUAGGAGAAGCAAUGAUGAGAGGUAAUAUUAAAGCAGUGUACACAUGCAGCCUCGAAUUCCUAACCACGCUGAUGAUGUUUUCAAGGUGCUUUGAGCCCUGUAGGAAGCAGCACCUGUCUGGCAUGAUGCUGAAUGCACAGUAGAAACAGUGAAUGCAGGGAGAGUAGACCCUGGGCUGCCUUUCCUAUCUACUGAUGAAGAGAUCAGGCCUUAAGAAGCUUAGUGACUUAACCACGAUGU
RNAcentral lists this long non-coding RNA (744 nucleotides) under Homo sapiens (human). Its description in RNAcentral is "non-protein coding lnc-ANKRD60-2:1". The record is from RNAcentral. Lineage: Eukaryota; Metazoa; Chordata; Mammalia; Primates; Hominidae.